This 255-nucleotide ribosomal RNA is filed under the name uncultured bacterium. Its description in RNAcentral is "partial 16S ribosomal RNA". It matches the Rfam family "Bacterial small subunit ribosomal RNA", at positions 524 to 777 of the family's 1533-position model. The record is from RNAcentral.
UACAGAGGGGGCAAGCGUUGUUCGGAAUUACUGGGCGUAAAGGGCGCGUAGGCGGCCUGUUAAGUCGAACGUGAAAUCCCCCGGGCUCAACCCCGGGAACUGCGUCCGAUACUGGCAGGCUUGAAUCCGGGAGAGGAUGCGGAAUUCCAGGUGUAGCGGUGAAAUGCGUAGAUAUCUGGAGGAACACCGGUGGCGAAGGCGGCAUCCUGGACCGGCAUUGACGCUGAGGCGCGAAAGCCAGGGGAGCAAAGCAGG